Molecule: ribosomal RNA, 481 nt
Filed under: uncultured Spongiibacter sp.
Lineage: Bacteria; Pseudomonadati; Pseudomonadota; Gammaproteobacteria; Cellvibrionales; Spongiibacteraceae
Description: bacterial SSU rRNA
Rfam family: Bacterial small subunit ribosomal RNA
Source: RNAcentral
GAUUGAACGCUGGCGGCAGGCCUAACACAUGCAAGUCGAACGCGAAAGCACUUCGGUGUGAGUAGAGUGGCGGACGGGUGAGUAACGCGUGGGAAUCUACCUAGUAGUGGAGGAUAACUCGGGGAAACUCGAGCUAAUACUGCAUACGCCCUACGGGGGAAAGCGGGGGAUCUUCGGACCUCGUGCUAUUGGAUGAGCCCGCGUUAGAUUAGCUUGUUGGUGAGGUAAUGGCUCACCAAGGCGACGAUCUAUAGCUGGUCUGAGAGGAUGAUCAGCCACAUUGGGACUGAGACACGGCCCAAACUCCUACGGGAGGCAGCAGUGGGGAAUAUUGCGCAAUGGGCGAAAGCCUGACGCAGCCAUGCCGCGUGUGUGAAGAAGGCCUUCGGGUUGUAAAGCACUUUCAAUAGGGAGGAAAGGUUGUAACUUAAUACGUUGCAACUGUGACGUUACCUAUAGAAGAAGGACCGGCUAACUCCGU